UUAAACGAAUUCGCCCUUGGCCUACGGGAGGCAGCAGUCGGGAAUAUUGCGCAAUGGAGGAAACUCUGACGCAGUGACGCCGCGUAUAGGAAGAAGGUUUUCGGAUUGUAAACUAUUGUCAUGAGGGAAGAAAUUGACAGUACCUCAGGAGGAAGCUCCGGCUAACUAUGUGCCAGCAGCCGCGGUA
RNAcentral lists this ribosomal RNA (187 nucleotides) under uncultured rumen bacterium. RNAcentral's name for it is "partial 16S ribosomal RNA". It matches the Rfam family "Bacterial small subunit ribosomal RNA", at positions 320 to 522 of the family's 1533-position model. The record is from RNAcentral.